UUCGCCUCCAUUGUCAUCCUAGUCGAAAUCCCCAAGUGUCGGAUCAUCUUCAACCCCAAUCGGAGAACAUUCAGAUACUCACCUCACUCGAAAAUCUUCAAAAAUUCACAGUAAACGAAAGCGAACCCCAAACUUCACUGCUUGCUUCCACUCUUUUAUUUCUUUCCUGCCUUUGAUUCUAUUUAUCAUACAAUUCCAAUCUCAGCAAAACCCAAACGAGAAAGACACUCUGGUUCGAGCGUUUGCUGUCCCCAAAGAGUCUCUGUUUACAGAGAUCGGAGGAGAAAGAUAUCCGCUUAUCACGAAAUGAUAACUCGGUCUAAACUCGUUGAGCAACUCAGAGAUUACCAGAUCCGAUCUCAAAACACCUACCCUGCUCUUAUCUUUUUCUCUCCCAAACCCCAUAUCCUUUCCUGGGCAGAUGAAGCCGUGGCUAUUUUUUGUGCUUUCGUAUUUAGUGUGUUAGUUAUAUUGUCCUAUUUGUCGCUUUAUUUUCGUCACUUCUGGCUUUCCUCGAUCACUAUAUGCCUUGGUAUAUUUCUUCCAAUAUGCUUGAGAGGUUAUAGGCAGGCUCUGGUCAAGAAGAGGGAGAGAAAAUUUCUAUUACCCUUGUCCAUGUGAGCCUUUUGUGGCACUGAGUUUGAUUCAUCAUAUGAGCUGCCCCUGGAUGGCUUUUUACCCGUUUCUGCGAACGGGGCACAUUCGAACAUCCUGUAAAUUGAACUUGGUCAGUAAAGACUGCUGCUUGGCUGCUUUUAAAGUAGACGGUACAACUUCACACCACCCUACAUGAAGCCCAUGCAGACACUUGGAAUCUGUAACAUUUCACAGUUCUUUGUACAAAGAAACAAACAAUAUGCCUAUAAUAUGAGAGCAUUGAAGAAGAAAAGAAACCAUUUUUAGAUUGAA
This is a long non-coding RNA of Hibiscus syriacus, 909 nucleotides long. RefSeq lists it as uncharacterized. The transcript is spliced from 2 exons. NCBI's taxonomy places the organism in Eukaryota, Viridiplantae, Streptophyta, Magnoliopsida, Malvales, Malvaceae. The record is from RefSeq and is a predicted model, not a curated record.